UGGGGGAUAUUGCACAAUGGGGGAAACCCUGAUGCAGCGACGCCGCGUGGAGGAAGAAGGUUUUCGGAUUGUAAACUCCUGUCGUUAGGGACGAUAAUGACGGUACCUAACAAGAAAGCACCGGCUAACUACGUGCCAGCAGCCGCGGUAAAACGUAGGGUGCAAGCGUUGUCCGGAAUUACUGGGUGUAAAGGGAGCGCAGGCGGGAAGACAAGUUGGAAGUGGAAACCAUGGGCUCAACCCAUGAAUUGCUUUCAAAACUGUUUUUCUUGAGUAGUGCAGAGGUAGAUGGAAUUCCCGGUGUAGCGGUGGAAUGCGUAGAUAUCGGGAGGAACACCAGUGGCGAAGGCGGUCUACUGGGCACCAACUGACGCUGAGGCUCGAAAGCAUGGGUAGCAAACAGGAUUAGAUACCCUGGUAGUCCAUGCCGUAAACGAUGAUUACUAGGUGUUGGGGGAUUGACCCCCUCAGUGCCGCAGUUAACACAAUAAGUAAUCCACCUGGGGAGUACGACCGCAAGGUUGAAACUCAAAGGAAUUGACGGGGGCCCGCACAAGCAGUGGAGUAUGUGGUUUAAUUCGAAGCAACGCGAAGAACCUUACCAGGUCUUGACAUCCGAUGCAUAACACAGAGAUGUGUGAAAUCCUUCGGGACAUCGAGACAGGUGGUGCAUGGUUGUCGUCAGCUCGUGUCGUGAGAUGUUGGGUUAAGUCCCGCAACGAGCGCAACCCUUAUUGCCAGUUACUACGUUAAGAGGACUCUGGCGAGACUGCCGUUGACAAAACGGAGGAAGGUGGGGAUGACGUCAAAUCAUCAUGCCCUUUAUGACCUGGGCUACACACGUACUACAAUGGCGUUAAACAAAGAGAAGCAAGACCGCGAGGUGGAGCAAAACUCAAAAACAACGUCUCAGUUCAGAUUGCAGGCUGCAACUCGCCUGCAUGAAGUCGGAAUUGCUAGUAAUCGCGGAUCAGCAUGCCGCGGUGAAUACGUUCCC
Molecule: ribosomal RNA, 997 nt
Filed under: uncultured bacterium
Lineage: Bacteria
Description: bacterial SSU rRNA
Rfam family: Bacterial small subunit ribosomal RNA
Source: RNAcentral